UGUUUGUUUACUCACUUCAGUUUCUUCAUUUUAAUGAUCUAUAUAUACUACUGUCAUAAACUGGCUACUACAAUACACAUUUUUGUCACAUUCAUAUUUUUAUCUCCUAAAACUGUUGCUAUAAAACUUCUUCAAACUUGAAUUAAUGUUAAAAAUGUUUUAUCAGUGUUAAAAGUCUUUGAAACAGCAAAUUCCUAUGCUUCAACUUUUGUAUAUUUUUCAAUUGUGUGUACAAUUUAUGUUCACUAUAUUAAUAUCUCCGUACCCAUUCUGACAUAUAUUAUUUUCAUAGAGUUUAUCUCCAUCAGUGCUGAAGUGGGAAAUACAGUAAUACAAAUUAUUUUGUUAAAUCUUUAUUAAUAAAAUUUAUUAAGUAGUUACCAUUAACAAAUUGAGUUAAUUGAUUCCAUAUAUGGCGUUCAAUCGAGUCUUCCGGCAUGAAAACACAUUGAGUUGAUUGAUUCGACAUUUGACGUUCAAUCGUUAUCGAUCGUAUCGAUCGUUACGAUCGAGUCUUCAUCAAAACACAUUGAGUUGAUUGAUUCGACAUUUGACGUUCAAUCGUUAUCGAUCGUAUCGAUCGUUACGAUCGAGUCUUCAUCAAAAUACAUUGAGUUGAUUGAUUCGACAUAUGACGUUCAAUCGUUAUCGAUCGUUAUGAUCGAGUCUUUGUCAUAACAC
RNAcentral lists this long non-coding RNA (681 nucleotides) under Mytilus galloprovincialis (Mediterranean mussel). Lineage: Eukaryota; Metazoa; Mollusca; Bivalvia; Mytilida; Mytilidae. The record is from RNAcentral.